GACGAACGCUGGCGGCGUGCUUAACACAUGCAAGUCGAACGAUGAAGCGGUGCUUGCACCGUGGAUUAGUGGCGAACGGGUGAGUAAUACGUGAGUGACCUACCUUUGACUCUGGGAUAAGCCUGGGAAACUGGGUCUAAUACCGGAUACGACCAAUCUCUGCAUGGGGUGUUGGUGGAAAGCGUUAUGGAGUGGUUUUAGAUGGGCUCACGGCCUAUCAGCUUGUUGGUGAGGUAAUGGCUUACCAAGGCGACGACGGGUAGCCGGCCUGAGAGGGUGACCGGCCACACUGGGACUGAGACACGGCCCAGACUCCUACGGGAGGCAGCAGUGGGGAAUAUUGCACAAUGGGCGCAAGCCUGAUGCAGCGACGCCGCGUGAGGGAUGACGGCCUUCGGGUUGUAAACCUCUGUUAGCAUCGAAGAAGCGAAAGUGACGGUAGGUGCAGAGAAAGCGCCGGCUAACUACGUGCCAGCAGCCGCGGUAAUACGUAGGGCGCGAGCGUUGUCCGGAAUUAUUGGGCGUAAAGAGCUUGUAGGCGGUUGGUCGCGUCUGCUGUGAAGGCCGGGGCUUAACUCCGGUUUUGCAGUGGGUACGGGCUAACUAGAGUGCAGUAGGGGAGACUGGAAUUCCUGGUGUAGCGGUGGAAUGCACAGAUAUCAGGAGGAACACCGAUGGCGAAGGCAGGUCUCUGGGCUGUAACUGACGCAGAGAAGCGAAAGCAUGGGGAGCGAACAGGAUUAGAUACCCUGGUAGUCCAUGCCGUAAACGUUGGGCACUAGGUGUGGGGGACAUUCCACGUUUUCCGCGCCGUAGCUAACGCAUUAAGUGCCCCGCCUGGGGAGUACGGCCGCAAGGCUAAAACUCAAAGGAAUUGACGGGGGCCCGCACAAGCGGCGGAGCAUGCGGAUUAAUUCGAUGCAACGCGAAGAACCUUACCAAGGCUUGACAUGCAUUAGAUCGCGUCAGAGAUGGCGUUUCCCUUCGGGGCUGGUGUACAGGUGGUGCAUGGUUGUCGUCAGCUCGUGUCGUGAGAUGUUGGGUUAAGUCCCGCAACGAGCGCAACCCUCGUUCUAUGUUGCCAGCGGUUCGGCCGGGGACUCAUAGGAGACUGCCGGGGUCAACUCGGAGGAAGGUGGGGAUGACGUCAAAUCAUCAUGCCCCUUAUGUCUUGGGCUUCACGCAUGCUACAAUGGCCGGUACAGAGGGUUGCGAUACUGUGAGGUGGAGCUAAUCCCUUAAAGCCGGUCUCAGUUCGGAUUGGGGUCUGCAACUCGACCCCAUGAAGUCGGAGUCGCUAGUAAUCGCAGAUCAGCAACGCUGCGGUGAAUACGUUCCCGGGCCU
Molecule: ribosomal RNA, 1345 nt
Filed under: uncultured bacterium
Lineage: Bacteria
Description: bacterial SSU rRNA
Rfam family: Bacterial small subunit ribosomal RNA
Source: RNAcentral